UUGAAAAAUAGGGCUUUCCCAUUCUUUGGGGCCCGAACCUUCACAUAAUUUCCACACACUUGUGAAUCGUUGGAGCGUUUUUUGAAAAAGAGACGCUCUGGCACCCUUUAAUUAUUACAAACACCGAGUUAAUGGAUGUAGUUGUAAACUUGUCUUUUGACAGAAACAAAAAUA
Molecule: unclassified non-coding RNA, 174 nt
Filed under: uncultured Tilletiopsis
Lineage: Eukaryota; Fungi; Basidiomycota; Exobasidiomycetes
Description: sequence contains ITS1
Source: RNAcentral